CCCGUUCCCAUCUCGAACACGGCCGUUAAGCCCUCCUGCGCCGAUGGUACUUGGGGUCUCCCCUGGGAGAGUAGGUCGUUGCCGGAU
RNAcentral lists this ribosomal RNA (87 nucleotides) under Bacillota bacterium. Lineage: Bacteria; Bacillati; Bacillota. The record is from RNAcentral.